This is a long non-coding RNA of Saccostrea cuccullata (small rock oyster), 450 nucleotides long. RefSeq lists it as uncharacterized. The record is from RefSeq and is a predicted model, not a curated record. The transcript is spliced from 3 exons. Lineage: Eukaryota; Metazoa; Mollusca; Bivalvia; Ostreida; Ostreidae.
UAUAAAUUUCUAGCGGCCGCCAGGUAAAAUAUUUUUUCCUUGCACCUACUGGUUUUCGUAGACGUCAGAUACUGCUUACCUGCAUAAAACUUUUAAUUAAAUUAAAGGUUUUUGUUCAGGGAAAAGGUUUCUUGGUGACGCAUGCCAAACAAAUGAGGAUUGUACUGGAACUCCAAACGGCGGAAUUUGUAGAAAUCCAGAAAACUAUGAAUAUAACCAUGGGAAGUGUCAUUGUAAUGAUGGCUUUACGGAGUUUGCAAAUCGAUGUCUACAAGAAAACAGACGCCUUCAUGAACACUGUGAAGAAGACGUCCAAUGUAAUGGAACGAAGCACGCAUCAAAAUGUUCCUUAAAUGUUUGCAUAUGCAUGUGAAGAAGACUUCAUCGACUUUCAGAAUGAAUGUCUAAAUUAUUCUGUGGGACUUGGUGACGAAUGUAAACUCAAUGCAC